This 1745-nucleotide long non-coding RNA is filed under the name Solanum lycopersicum (tomato). RNAcentral describes it as "partial TCONS_00150096". Lineage: Eukaryota; Viridiplantae; Streptophyta; Magnoliopsida; Solanales; Solanaceae. The record is from RNAcentral.
AACGUCUUUCACUUUACGCUUUCUCGAGCUUCCUCUGAAAUUAUAGACGAACUGAAGACGAAGAGCUAAAGGUGAAGAAUUGAUAUCACGAACCCGAAGAUCGAUGAACUGAGCUAAAGGUUAUGAACUGAGCUAGAGAUUUCUUUGAUAGUGAAGAUCGAGGAACCGAGAUGAAGCUGAAUAAUUGAAGAAAGACGAACUGAGCUGAAGAUGAAUAGCUAAAGCUAAAGAAAUGAAGGGCGAAAGCUGAAGAACAGAAGAUUUGAGCUGAAGAUUUCUCCAAUAUUGGUUUUGUCAAGCGUAAUUACCGAUUUCCUCAAGCUUAAGAUUAAGCAGAAGUGAUUGCUUUGGGGUUGUUACAACUUAACUUCCAAAGUAGGAGAUGAAAUUGUCGUAAAUCUCAUCGCCAUUACCUUGGUUUAUUCAGCAGACGAGAAAGAGGGAACUACUACUCGGAAGCCUUUGAAUCGGUUAGUAUCUAUCUUAUUUUCCUGCUGGUUUCUUAAAAACAUACUUAUGAUGUUAGUUUCUCACAUUGCGCAGAAAGGUUUGGAUGAUAAUGACCUGUGCUUGGAGGGUAAUUUUAUGGUGGAAUUUUUUCAUAUAAAUAAGAACAAUUGAAUUCUAACUAUUUCUUUGUUACUUGAAUUCUAAAUUUUUUAAUCGCUUCACUAUUUUGCUUGUUUUAUCUUCAAUGGAUGUAACAUUGGGUCCUCGUAAUGGAUGAAGAAGAUAAAAAUCUUUUCCUUCUCCGACGAGCAUUUGUAUAAAUGCUCAUGUAUUUAUGACACAACUUGUGCUUGCGAAUCUUUUUGAAUUUUUUUGUAUUUUACCUUAUAUUUUUGUAAUGAUAUGGUGCUGUCAUCGGUGUCCACAACAUAUGAAAUGAAUCUUUUAGGGAUUAAUCUAUGAUUUUCCUUCAAAGCAACCAGCAAGUGAUUCAUUGUAUCUUUGUAGAGUGUUCCACAAAGUUUUAAGUACCUUCUCUAGCUUGUAACAACACAUAUAGGGUAACAUUCUCUAUAAUUUUUUCACUUUCCGCAUUUAUCUUUUAUGGGUGCGUCUCUGAUUGAAUGACCUUUUGUUCUAUCCGUAAACUAUUAUGCUUCUUGAUGAUCAAAUUAAUUUUACAUGCUGUCCAUUAUGUUUUUAUAAAUUCCUAAUAUAUAUAACGAUGCAAAUUCAAAUCAAUCAGAAAUUUCUUUUACUAUUUUCUAGGAACUUAUUAUGUUAAAUAUCAUAUCUUGUAAGAAGUCAGUAUAGAAUGGACUUGCUAGCGAAACUGUAGAGAUUAUUUUUAAUAGAAUACCUUUUGCUUAGUAAUACACUCUUUAGCUAUCCGAUAAAUUACUGCAUUAUAUUUGUACAUUUGAGUUGCUUUGGGUUACAACCUCCUUUCCAAUUCAUGUAUUGGAUUAGUUAUUGGUAAUAAAUUUCCUCGGUUCACCUUUGAUACAUAUUUGAGUCCACAAGUAGGUAAAUAUCCAUCUAUAAUUCCAUUUACUCUUUUGUUAGCAUAUUCUCAUUUUAAAUCUUUGUUUAAAUAUAUAAUAAAUGAAGAAGGAAGAUUGAGUAAGUAAUGUAAGGUAAGUAUACUUGAAAACAUGUGUUCUCAUUUACUAGUUCUAUAGAAGAAUGAGAACGACAGAAUAAUUUAGAUUGAAUCAACACUUACCAAAAAGUUUUCACAAGGAAUAUGUUACAUUUAAAUUACAAAUUUAAGGGUGUGUUACAAACUGCUAUAC